RNAcentral lists this ribosomal RNA (329 nucleotides) under Cercomonas sp. Its description in RNAcentral is "SSU rRNA". The stretch from base 63 to 329 matches the Rfam family "Eukaryotic small subunit ribosomal RNA", at positions 687 to 955 of the family's 1831-position model. RNAcentral also lists the same sequence under 2 other names. The record is from RNAcentral. Lineage: Eukaryota; Cercozoa; Cercomonadida; Cercomonadidae.
GAUUUCUGGUACGGCGCACUUGGCCCGUCUCGGUUACGAGUAUGUGUGCCGGUGUGCGCCUGCCAUCCAUCUAGAAUACACUUGUACUACCCUUCACUGGGUCUGAACAAGACUGGAUCUAGAUCUUUUACUUUGAAAAAAUUAGAGUGUUUAAAGCAGGCUUGUGCUAUGAAUACAUUAGCAUGGAAUAAUAAUUUAGGACUUUGGUCUUAUUUUGUUGGUUUCUAGGACUAAAGUAAUGAUUGAUAGGGAUAGUUGGGGGUGCUAGUAUUCAGCGGCCAGAGGUGAAAUUCUUGGAUUCGCUGAAGACUAACUUAUGCGAAAGCAUU